GGGAUUGUGGCUCAGUGGUAGAGCAUUCGCCUUGCACAUGUGAUACCUGGGUUCGAUCCUCAGCACCA
This 68-nucleotide transfer RNA is filed under the name Ictidomys tridecemlineatus (thirteen-lined ground squirrel). Its description in RNAcentral is "Spermophilus tridecemlineatus (thirteen-lined ground squirrel) tRNA". It matches the Rfam family "tRNA". From Rfam's summary of the family: Transfer RNA (tRNA) molecules are approximately 80 nucleotides in length. Their secondary structure includes four short double-helical elements and three loops (D, anti-codon, and T loops). Lineage: Eukaryota; Metazoa; Chordata; Mammalia; Rodentia; Sciuridae. The record is from Rfam by way of RNAcentral.